Molecule: ribosomal RNA, 343 nt
Filed under: uncultured Anaerolineaceae bacterium
Lineage: Bacteria; Bacillati; Chloroflexota; Anaerolineae; Anaerolineales; Anaerolineaceae
Description: bacterial SSU rRNA
Rfam family: Bacterial small subunit ribosomal RNA
Source: RNAcentral
AACCAGGAGACAGGUGCUGCAUGGCUGUCGUCAGCUCGUGUCGUGAGAUGUCGGUUAAGUCCGCUAACGAGCGCAACCCUCGCUGUGUGUUACAAGUGUCACACGGAACUGCCCGGUCAUAAACCGGAGAAGGUGGGAUGACGUCAAGUCAGCAUGGCCUUUAUAUCCUGGGCUACACACACGCUACAAUGGGAAGGGACAAUAGGUUGCGAAGCCGCGAGGCGGAGCCAAUCCAGCAAAACUUCCCUCAGUUCAGAUUGCAGGCUGCAACUCGCCUGCAUGAAGUUGGAGUUGCUAGUAAACGCAGGUCAGCCAUACUGCGUUGAAUACGUUCCCGGGGCUU